UAUUAGAGGAAAUACAAUAUCGCGAGAAACCGUACGGGACUAGAAUCGAAUUUCCCUCCGGUCGGCUUUUCCGUAAGAAUAUUUUAAUUUUUUUUAUUAAUAAUAAAUUGAUCUAAAUUAGCAUUAUGUUUGCUAAUGAUAAAUCACAUAGUUCGUAUGCCUAUUAUUUAAUCUAAAUUGUAUUCAUUCCUUGAGUACACUGAUUAUGUAUAGAAAAAAUACUCUGUAGCGGCGGUUCUCAAAAUGUGAGCUGC
Cinara cedri is the source of this 254-nucleotide non-coding RNA. The record is from the annotation of a GenBank genome assembly. NCBI's taxonomy places the organism in Eukaryota, Metazoa, Arthropoda, Insecta, Hemiptera, Aphididae.